GGAAAUUCUCUCCAACUCAAACAUACAAAUACCACUGAUACAGAACACCCUGCACAGUCUGCAGCAGCCUCUUCGUUAUCCCAACCUUAGAGGGAUUCUUUCAACUGUUGACGCACACUGUAUAUAGGAGCUACCCAGUCGACAACAUUCCCAGGCAUCCCUCACUUGCUCACAGGUACCUUAUAUGCUUUCUCACAUGAACCAAUUUAUUGGAUAUUUUUCUCCAUAUAUUUGUUUAUUACUCCUAUUUUUCACAAAGGAUCAUAGAACUCACCAAAAAUAACAAACUCUAAUCACAAUAAGAUAUUGAGAUACAAAAUUUUAACAAUUGCGAGAAGAGCUUUUGAUGAAGUCUAUAUCUUCAUGACUUUAAAGCUUGUGUUUGCCUCAUUAUCACAUCAAAAAAUGUAUGCAAUUUGUUCUGCAAAUGCAAAUGAAAUGUACAGGUAAAAAUUAGAAAGAAAUCAGUGGUAGGAAGAGGAAGAAUACAACAUUUGCCUCUACAGCUGCUUUGCUAAGAAAUAAGCGCAAUACACCUGCUUAUACAAAAGCAAAAGUGAUUUAAUGGCCAAUCAAAUUAAUCUUUCAUAUAAUUUAAUUCAUGAGUCCUUUCGUUUGUUCCAUAUGUUGUUCUAACUUAUUUCCUAUUGCAAUUGUUCAAAUUCAAUAUUCCUAAAUAGUAACUCUAUUUCACAGGAGAUUGCCCACAGCUAAAACAUAGAAAUAACGCUGAUACAGAACAGUGUGCAGGCUGUGCAUCUGACUCUUCAUUAUGACCACCUUAGAGGGAUUGCUUCCACUCCUCACGCAAACCGUAUAUACCGGCUAGCCAGUCCACAAGAUUGACACACAUCCCACACGUUCUCACAGGUACGUUAUGUGCUUUUUCUCAUAAUGUACACAAUUUCAGAUACCAGUGAUAUACAAUGGCCUGCACCGUAUGCAGCAGCAUCUUCAUUACCGUCACCUUAGAGCGAUUGCUUCAACUGCCAACACAAAUCGUAUAUACAGCCUGUGUUCUUGGCUCUUUUCUGUUUGUCUACAUCUCUCUCAAGCUUUGGUGAAGGUUUCUGUUUAUCUCCGACGAACUGCGCAGGUUCUUCAUCGUCGUUUAACCGGAAUUUCAAUGUCCACUCCAUCUCUUCUUUACUGUUUUCUCUUUCUCUACAGACUUUAAAUCUGUCGCUGAAGCUUUGCUGAAGAUUUCUGUUUCUCUCCUACGAGCUGCGCAGGUACUUCUUCAUCGUUUAAGCGACCCUAAUUUCUCUCCCUCUGAACUCUAAGUUCUACCUCUGAACUCUUCAAUGGCGAAUCCAUCUGUUCUUUACUGUUUUCGGUUUGUCUGCAGCCUAUAAAUUCCUCUCUGAACGUUUCUUCAACAUUUCGCUUUCUGUCGGAUGACCUGCUCAGGUACUCCAUCUGUUCUUUACUGUUUUCUAUUUCUAUAGAGCCUUUAAAUCUGUCUCUCAACCUUUCCUGAAGAUUUAUGUUUCUCUCGGACAACCUGCGUAGGUACUUCUUCAUGGUUUAAGUAAAAUUUACAUGUUUCUUCCAUCCUUUGCUUACACUCACAUAGUACGCAAAAAACUACAUAAGAAAAAGAAACACUAUAAUACAAAAUACAACUUUCAUCCUUUACUUUAGUUUUGUUUCCGAAUGUCAAUUCAAAGGAGAAAGCAUUGUUUAGUUGCUGUUUCUUUUGUUACUUCCUAUGUCCUGUAUUCCUACACAAGGACAGAAAAUUUCUACAAACUUGCCAAACUUUUGUACUAUCUUCAAAAUCCAAACUAACAAAAUUUAUUGUCUUUUCCCACAGAUUUUCUACAACGUAUUCGUUUGUGUGUGAAUCAUACAAAAGGUCAUCAUUUGUUUCUGCUACAUGUUUGCUGUUUAUAUAUUUACCCCCACCAAAUAUAUUUGAAAGCUGUAUCCUUCCUUUGCAUCUAAUUUUUGCAGCAAAUCUUUUUUUCCCGCUUUGUCUCAAUGGGCUUACAUGGAUAUUCCCGCAUUCAUCUCAACCUUAGUUUUCCUGCUUAAACGUUUUCUCAUUUCUGACAUAUGGUCUAUCCUCACGUGUUCGGUAUUCACAGGUUUUAUAUGACUUCGCUUUCAUUUCCCUCAAUACUUGUCCACACAAAUUCAUUGCCAAAAGGAAAGAAAAUAUUCCCUGUAAUAUAAUUACUCAUUCAUUUCUUGUGUUCCGUAUGUAGUUGUAGCUUAUUUCAUAUUCACUUUGCCACAAUUCAAUAUUCCUAAAUACUCACUUUGUUUCGCAGGAAAUUCUCUCCAACUCAAACAUACAAAUACCACUGAUACAGAACACCCUGCACAGUCUGCAGCAGCCUCUUCGUUAUCCCAACCUUAGAGGGAUUCUUUCAACUGUUGACGCACACUGUAUAUAGGAGCUACCCAGUCGACAACAUUCCCAGGCAUCCCUCACUUGCUCACAGGUACCUUAUAUGCUUUCUCACAUGAACCAAUUUAUUGGAUAUUUUUCUCCAUAUAUUUGUUUAUUACUCCUAUUUUUCACAAAGG
Molecule: long non-coding RNA, 2535 nt
Filed under: Solanum tuberosum (potato)
Lineage: Eukaryota; Viridiplantae; Streptophyta; Magnoliopsida; Solanales; Solanaceae
Description: long non-coding RNA (STUB_LNC008773)
Source: RNAcentral